UAUAUAUAUAUAUAUAUAUAUAUGGCUUUGUGGGCUACACAGUUUCACUCACGACUACUCAACUUUGCUGUCGUAGUGUGAAAGCCAUAAAUAAGACAAAAACGAAUGAACGUGGCUAUGUCCCAAUAAGACUUUAUUCACAGAUACUGGGGGAGGACAGGAUUUGGCCAGCAGGCCAUAGUUGCUGACCCCUGAUCUAAAAUAAAAACACCUACAAAUCUACAAGGAAAAAAAAAAUGCGCAAAAGACUUGGACGUCCACUUCGUAAAAGAGGCUAUCCACAUGGCCAGUAAACAUGAAAAGGUAUGUUAAUUUUAUUAAUAAUCUUGGAAAAGGCGGAUUUAAAACCCUGUGUGGCACUACUGCCACCCUCUGAAAUGGUUAAAAUGAAAAGCAUGAAAGAGCAAGAUUUGGCAAGAACGUAACAGGAACUUGCCUACACUCCUGUUGGUAUUGCCCUUUGAUAGAACCAUUUUGGAAAGCUGGCACUUAGAGCAAACCUGUGUUUGUACCCUUUUAACAAACCCAAACCUAGCAGACAUGCAUGAAUGUGUCCACUGUGCAUGUAUAUGUCCACCAAGGGACAUGUCCUAGAAUUUUCAUGACCUAAAACUUCAAAAAACAACUCUGAAGGCACCUAUGCAGUAGAACUUUGAACGUCAGUGGUGUGUUUCCACCACAGAACACUCUAAGGCAAGGAGAAUGGGUAGUAAGCACAGGCAAUAGCAGCUCAAUUUCAUAAAGAAUGUUAAAUGAAGGAAUCUAGACACAAAAGCAAACAGGUAAAGUACAAGAACAGGUAAAACUUGGCUAUGCAGUUAGAAAUCAGGAUAGCGGUUAGCCUUGGCCAAGGCUGACAAGGAGCAUUCAUCUGGUGCUGGUAAUAAUUGGUUUCUAAAUCUAGGUGCUGAAUAUCUGAGUGUUCUGUGCACUCAAGCUUUGUGUGUUUUUCUGCAUGUAUAUUACACUUACAUAAAAUGUUGUUAAAAAUCACAAGUGUCUACCAUUUUUGUCGCUCAGCACUCUUGCCAUAUUUUUCUAGAUGUAUAUGAGUAUGCUGCAUAACAGGAAUUAACUGGUAGAUUUUGCAUAAUUUUUGUGCAGGAAAUACUCUUAGCUUUAAUGGCAACUACGAAGAUUUCCUACACUGACCGUAAAGCUUAGUAUAAAGUAUAUUUUCAGUAAAUAUUUGAAAAGGUGACAGGGCCAUUACAUAUGUUGUCAUCCUACCGUUCUGCAUAUAUAAAUGCAUCUGACACAUAUAAAUAGGUCUGGACUGCCUCUUCAAUAAAGAACUGAUGUGUGUAAACCUUUCAUAUUUUCUCAGGCGAAUUGUUUUUUACAUUCCUGAAUUUGGGAUGCAUCUUAACCAUCACACUGUCACAGAGCUACCCAAGCUGGAGGAAACAGCGCUGCGGGCAACCGCAAGGCACAUCACUCACUUCCGCUGUCCUCCCGCGGUGUGAGGUGGCUGCCACGGCAGCGCAGCCCCGGAGCCUGGGAGGCAGGCCUGUGGCUCUGUGAGGAGCAUCCCGGGCUACAGGCGGGGCGACCUGGAGCCUCCCCAACCCCAAAUAACACCCACCCAAGACCCACUUCUUGUCCCUUCCCAGGCUCAGGAGCAGGGGCUGGGGGUGGGCAGGGGACAGACGUGUACCCUCACCAGACCCCACCCCCAGCUCCAUUUAGUAAUAAAUUCUUUCUUACAGCCAGCUAUGGAGGUUCCUUUUCGGGCCAGUCUCCAAUGUGUAGCUGUCUAAAACAACUUCUUUACUUUUACCUAAUCCCUUUUGGAAUUUCCUGUGGCAGGAACUGGGCUCUGUUGCAUGAGGCUUACCAGAGAAGAGUGGCUCACAUUUGAUUCUCAAAUACAUUUUGUUGUGGAGAAUGGAGGUCACAUAGCUGCGUCCCCUGGGUGCUGUCUGGAGGGACACGCUCCCUGAUGCUCCAGCCCCAGGCUCACCUUGAAAGUCGCCUAAAAUGAUGAUCAUAUGGGACUGUUUAAAAAUGCUGAGUCCUUAUAAGUGUCCUAAUGCUGAAAAUUGAAGAUAACACACAUAGAUGGGUGUUGGGCAGCACAAAUAUUGAAUAAUAUCCCCCAAAUCGAGAAGAAACUUUAAGACCGAAAACAAAGCAGGCAACCCCAUAACGCACAAUUAGGAAGUGCGUUGUGGGUAACUUACGUACAGGCAGACGAGUAUCCGGAGGCAUUUAUUUGCAGCUAAACUCUGUGCUGCUGAAAGGGGUACAGGGGGAUUUACAGGGGCCAAAGCUAAAAUUAGAAUCUGACAACCAGGGGAGAUGCUCGGCGGCCCUGACGGGAAAUGGGGUUUUCCCCCCCUUAGGGGUCUCAUGACCAUUAACCAUCUGUGCCAUCAGAAGGCAUUCUUCCAGUUUUCAUAUCGGAUGAAGACAAGGGUACAUAUGGAGCUUACCUGGCGGGGGUGCAUUCCUUGCGAGUGGGCUAAAGCUCAGGCCAGGGACGGGGGGCGAGGGGGACUGCGGGCCCGAGAUGGAGCUGACAACGUGGGGUCAGUGUGGUUCUGAUGCACAGUGGGUCAUCACGAAGGAGGACACUUGCUAAAAUUAAGUUUUGAGGUUAAAGAAAUGACAGAUUCCUUGUCAGCUCUGUUCUGUGUUCUGGGGUCCGAUGUUGGGCGCAGGCCGUGGGGCCGCCUGGGCCCUAUGGCAGCACAGGCAUGUCCAGCUGUGCUGCGGCUCUGAGGGUCCCAACCAUUGUCUGGAGAGGUCCCUACUCCAUCCAAGCCAGAGGAGAUGGCCCACCGUGACAUCUGUCUUCAGGUGGUGGGGCAGGAUGGGUGUAUGGGCAUCAAGAAAAGGGGCAGGGGGCAGAGCUGGAGGCCAGAGAGGGAGGACGUGCAGACAGCCGGGCUGGCAUAAAAAGGCAAGAUGGGUGGGCGUGACUGGUAAUUAUAAACUGGCUCACGAGGGUAGGGGUGCAGCUGGUGGGGGUGUGGGUGCACCAGGGGCCUGGAGUGAGCAUGCGUAACAAAGAUAUUGGGCAGCAAGAAAUGGGGCCCAAAUGGUGCAGGGAAGCUUCCAGAAGGUGUGAUGGUUGCCCUGCCCCCGUCUUCAAAACACAGCGUGACUCAGGUUGUCUCUGGGACCCCAGGCUGACAGAACCAUCCAAUCAAAUGGCAGAUCCUUCUGCCGGCAGAAUGCCCAGCCAGUAACCGCAGGUCCUGGUAUUGGGACCCUUUAUAUCUUUGGGGCAUGUGCCCCAAAUCUCCAGACAGACGAGGGGGUCCAGCGGCUGGUCCAUCCUCUGUGCCUGGACUUUGUGCUACUCCACUGCCCGCAGCGCCUGUCUCUGUCCUCGCCUCAGCCCGUCAGGAAAGGAAUAAAGUGAGACAUCAUUCCAGAGUCAAGAAGAAGAUAUGAAAAUUCUGUGCCAAUACAUUUGAUAAAAUGCACAGCUUUCUGGAAAAUACAACUUACUGAAACUUCUGGCUUUAAUCUGCUGCAAGACUCAGAUUUGCUGACAAGUGCACCUCAGAAGCUUCAUUUGUGGUUGGAGGCACCAGCCCUGAGGACCUCAUCCAGCGUGGAGCCUGGGGGAAGGAAUCCACAAGCCACUCCCCACAGAGGCCAGGCCACGGGUGUCCCUCCAGAGGGAGAAGCAGAGGACACGGGUUCGAGCCCUGGUCCGGGAAGAUCCCACAUGCCGCGGAGCAACUAAGCCUGUGCACCACAACUACUGAGCCUGUGUGCCAUAACUACUCAGCCCGUGUGCCACAACUACUGAAGCCCGCGCGCCUAGAUCCCGUGCUCCGCAACAAGAGAAGCCACCGCAAUGAGAAGCCCAUGCACUGCAAUGAAGAGUAGCCCCCGCUCGCCGCAACUGGAGAAAGCCCGCGCGCAGCAACGAAGACCCAAAGCAGCCAAAAAAAGGGAUUUUCACGCCUCUGAGGAAGUACAGAAGGUCUCUCCACCCUCUUUGCCCCCUGCUCACCUGGACUCACAGUAUUUGUGAGUUUGGAGGAGGCGCUGAGUACGCUGAGCAGACCCCACCCGGUCUCUCCGGGGCAACCUGUCCUUAGGUCCUUCUUUCCUUCACAGAAGACACCUGUGGCUUUCCAGUUCACCAGUGGCUGGCAGGUGCAAAGUAUUGGGCAACCCACAUGGCCCCAGAUCUAGAUCACUCCUCCAAUUCAGAGUUAUUCUUAAUAAAGCUGAUAUUUUCA
Molecule: long non-coding RNA, 4205 nt
Organism: Lagenorhynchus albirostris (white-beaked dolphin)
Lineage: Eukaryota; Metazoa; Chordata; Mammalia; Artiodactyla; Delphinidae
Exons: 5
Source: RefSeq, a predicted model, not a curated record